CUUGCUCCUAGCUGACGAGUGGCGCACGGGUGAGUAAUGUAUAGCUAACAUGCCCCAUAGAGGGGGAUAACGUCUGGAAACGGACGCUAAUACCCCAUACUCCUUAUAGUUGAGAUACUAUAAGGGAAAUGGAUUUCCGCUAUGGGAUUGGGCUAUAUGGUAUCAGCUAGUUGGUAAGGUAAUGGCUUACCAAGGCAAUGACGCCUAACUGGUCUGAGAGGAUGAUCAGUCACACUGGAACUGAGACACGGUCCAGACUCCUACGGGAGGCAGCAGUGGGGAAUAUUGCACAAUGGGGGAAACCCUGAUGCAGCAACGCCGCGUGGAGGAUGACGCCUUUCGGGGUGUAAACUCCUUUUAUAUGGGAAGAUAAUGACGGUACCAUAUGAAUAAGCGCCGGCUAACUCCGUGCCAGCAGCCGCGGUAAUACGGGGGGUGCAAGCGUUACUCGGAAUCACUGGGCGUAAAGCNCGCGCAGGCGGNUAGUAAAGUCAGAAGUGAAAGCCCACAGCUUAACUGUGGAACUGCUUCUGAAACUCACUAGCUAGAGUCUGGGAGAGGUAAGUGGAAUUAGUGGUGUAGGGGUAAAAUCCGCAGAGAUCACUAGGAAUACCAAAAGCGAAGGCAACUUACUGGAACAGUACUGACGCUGAAGGCGCGAAAGCGUGGGGAGCAAACAGGAUUAGAUACCCUGGUAGUCCACGCCCCUAAACGAUGAAUGUUAGUCGUCGGAGUCCUAGUGACUUCGGUGAUGCAGCUAACGCAUUAAACAUUCCGCCUGGGGAGUACGGUCGCAAGAUUAAAACUCAAAGGAAUAGACGGGGACCCGCACAAGUGGUGGAGCAUGUGGUUUAAUUCGAAGAUACGCGAAGAACCUUACCUGGCCUUGACAUCCCGCGAACCCUCCAGAGAUGGAGGGGUGCCCCUUUUGGGGAACGCGGUGACAGGUGCUGCACGGCUGUCGUCAGCUCGUGUCGUGAGAUGUUGGGUUAAGUCCCGCAACGAGCGCAACCCUCGUGUUUAGUUGCUAACAGUUCGGCUGAGCACUCUAAACAGACUGCCUCCACAAGGAGGAGGAAGGUGAGGACGACGUCAAGUCAUCAUGGUCCUUACGGCCAGGGCGACACACGUGCUACAAUGGGCAGGACAAUGAGAUGCAAUACCGCGAGGUGGAGCAAAUCUAUAAACCUGCUCUCAGUUCGGAUUGUAGUCUGCAACUCG
This 1221-nucleotide ribosomal RNA is filed under the name uncultured bacterium. RNAcentral's name for it is "bacterial SSU rRNA". It matches the Rfam family "Bacterial small subunit ribosomal RNA", at positions 75 to 1314 of the family's 1533-position model. The record is from RNAcentral.